GGAAAUAUUGGGCUCGCGCGCGAGUGCGAACAGCUCCGAUCUGUGCCCCUCCUCGCCGGGCUCAGCUCUCCCUCCAACUCUGGCGCAACAGCAAGGUAGAUCUGUAGAUGUGCUUGGCUGCUUGCCUGCUCCUCCUCUGCAUCUGUUUGCUCCCAAAUCUGCUUCUCCAUCCACAAGGCAGCAACCCCACCAUCGCUUCUCUCCUUCCCCAUGCUUGUCUGCUUGCUCUAGUGAUUUGGCUCUUCUCUCUUUGACGGUUGAUUGGGUCUUUUCUCAGUGUUGCUGCAGCAGCGAGGUGUCCCUGCUCUGAUGGAUCCUAGGAGAAGAGCUACAUCAGAUGAUCCAGUUUGGAAGUAUGGGUUCUGGCCAGAUUUAGAGAGGAAAGAUUUACUCCAGUGUACAUUGUGUGGCAAGAUAGUCCAUGCUGGA
Long non-coding RNA from Triticum aestivum (bread wheat), 429 nucleotides. RefSeq lists it as uncharacterized. The transcript is spliced from 3 exons. Lineage: Eukaryota; Viridiplantae; Streptophyta; Magnoliopsida; Poales; Poaceae. The record is from RefSeq and is a predicted model, not a curated record.